AGUGAACGCUGGCGGUAGGCCUAACACAUGCGAGUCGAACGGCAGCACAGUAAGAGCUUGCUCUUACGGGUGGCGAGUGGCGGACGGGUGAGGAAUACAUCGGAAUCUACUUUUUCGUGGGGGAUAACGUAGGGAAACUUACGCUAAUACCGCAUACGACCUACGGGUGAAAGCAGGGGAUCUUCGGACCUUGCGCGAUUGAAUGAGCCGAUGUCGGAUUAGCUAGUUGGCGGGGUAAAGGCCCACCAAGGCGACGAUCCGUAGCUGGUCUGAGAGGAUGAUCCGCCACACUGGAACUGAGACACGGUCCAGACUCCUACGGGAGGCAGCAGUGGGGAAUAUUGGACAAUGGGCGCAAGCCUGAUCCAGCCAUACCGCGUGGGUGAAGAAGGCCUUCGGGUUGUAAAGCCCUUUUGUUGGGAAAGAAAAGCAGCAGGUUAAUACCCCGCUGUUCUGACGGUACCCAAAGAAUAAGCACCGGCUAACAUCGUG
RNAcentral lists this ribosomal RNA (492 nucleotides) under uncultured bacterium. RNAcentral's name for it is "partial 16S ribosomal RNA". It matches the Rfam family "Bacterial small subunit ribosomal RNA", at positions 29 to 507 of the family's 1533-position model. The record is from RNAcentral.